UACAGAGGGUGCAAGCGUUAAUCGGAUUUACUGGGCGUAAAGCGUGUGUAGGUGGCUUCCUAAGUCGGUUGUGAAAUCCCUGGGCUCAACCUGGGAAUUGCAGUCGAUACUGGGAAGCUCGAGUUCGGUAGAGGGCGGCGGAAUUCCCGGUGUAGCAGUGAAAUGCGUAGAUAUCUGGAGGAACACCGGUGGCGAAGGCGGCAUCCUGGACCGGCAUUGACGCUGAGGCGCGAAAGCUAGGGGAGCAAACGGG
Molecule: ribosomal RNA, 253 nt
Filed under: uncultured bacterium
Lineage: Bacteria
Description: partial 16S ribosomal RNA
Rfam family: Bacterial small subunit ribosomal RNA
Source: RNAcentral